This is a non-coding RNA of Drosophila melanogaster (fruit fly), 348 nucleotides long. NCBI's taxonomy places the organism in Eukaryota, Metazoa, Arthropoda, Insecta, Diptera, Drosophilidae. The record is from Ensembl.
UUAGUAUUUAAAAUUAUUUAAUCAGUUCCUUAUGAAAUAUUUAUCAUUACGAUCCUAAAUUUAUAACUUUCAAAUGCAAUCAACUUAAUAAUCUUAAUAUCGAUAUCAAUAAAUCUCAGGUGCUAAAAUCGGUUUACAGUCACACGAUUUGCUGGAAUAGUAACCAUUAUCGGUCAAACGGAUAUUAUGGGUGGUUAACCUCUAUUGAUUAAAAACUCUAUCGGUGCAUGGCACCUUAUUUUAAAAUUAUAGAUACGUAAAAUAAUGCAGAACGACUGAUUACAGAUACUUCUAAUCGUUCCUUAACUUUUUACUGUGCACCAAGUGGACAGCCUUUUGGCGUUUGUU